AAACUGUGUUGUGGACACUUCUGCAAGAGGUCCUUAAAUCGCUCCCAUGUCUAAAAUAAUGAUUCAAGCUCCAUCUAUAUGAAUGAGGAUAUUUCAUUGUGAUGCCU
Dioscorea cayenensis subsp. rotundata (Guinea yam) is the source of this 107-nucleotide small nucleolar RNA. NCBI's taxonomy places the organism in Eukaryota, Viridiplantae, Streptophyta, Magnoliopsida, Dioscoreales, Dioscoreaceae. The record is from RefSeq and is a predicted model, not a curated record.